UGUUUUUAAAGCAUUGACUUACAUGUUGCACAUCAGUUACCUAUCACAGCAAACCAUAGCUGGCCUUCCAGAUACCUGUUUCUUUCUGGGUACAUUUCUGUUACUUAUAUGGUUCUUUAUGUUUCUCUUCUGAGCUGAUCCAAUUCUGAGGGUUUGUUUCAGCAAGUCCUGAGGUAGCCCUUUAGGAGCCAGCA
Pipistrellus kuhlii (Kuhl's pipistrelle) is the source of this 194-nucleotide long non-coding RNA. RefSeq lists it as uncharacterized. NCBI's taxonomy places the organism in Eukaryota, Metazoa, Chordata, Mammalia, Chiroptera, Vespertilionidae. The transcript has 3 exons. The record is from RefSeq and is a predicted model, not a curated record.